Sapajus apella (tufted capuchin) is the source of this 7072-nucleotide long non-coding RNA. RefSeq lists it as uncharacterized. Lineage: Eukaryota; Metazoa; Chordata; Mammalia; Primates; Cebidae. The transcript is spliced from 2 exons. The record is from RefSeq and is a predicted model, not a curated record.
UUUUUAUGGCUGCAUAGUAUUCCAUGAUAUAUAUGAGUCACAUUUCCCCUGUCUAGUCUAUCAUCGAUGGGCAUUUGGGUUGGUUCCAGGUCUUUGCUAUUGUAAACAGUGAGGCAGUAAACUCUUUAAUGGCAGGUGGGCCAGUGGGUUCCAGGAGAGUUCUGGUUGAAGCUAAGGGAUGCUGCUGGACCUGGGGAACCCCACAGUGCCUUGUUUGGGGAAAAUGUCACUUUGAAUUCUGACUUCACUUUGACAUUUCUAUUUAGCUCAUGACUCUUCUCUUCUUUUCAUUCUUUACAAUAAAACUUAGUCUACUGGUGGGAACAUUUAACAAGAGAAAAUAUUUAUUUUGAAGGGAUGUCUAUGCAUCUCAGCCCCAGGAAAGUUCAUUUCUUUACAACUGUAGAACAAAGGCUUAAGUAAAUGCACAGCUUACAUACAUGGACCAAAACAGAUGUGGCUAUCUAGUACAAUUCUUAGGAAGUCAGAUUCUAGAGCCAUAUUGUCUGAUUUUGUUCUGUUUACUGGCUUUGGGAGAGGAAAUUCUUGGUUCCCCGGUUUCAUCUUUUAUAAUAUUUACCUAAUGGGAUUGUUGUAAGGUUUAAAUAAAUAUGUGUAAAGUGUUACUGACUGUUACAGAGUAAUUAAUAAGGGUAAGUUGCUGCUAUUAUUGCUGUUAUUGUUUUGGCAGCUGCCUCAGGCUUUCUUAUAGUAAAAAUCAAAUUAAGGAAAUAUUAACCAAAAGAGUUUUCUCUAUUUAUUAAUUUUGUUUUUUCUCAAGUAGCCCUAUGCAGCUUAUUACUUCUUUAAACAAAAAAAGAUAAAAAUUUGGUUUAAAACUGGCAACUAAAAAAUACUUGCCUGGGAGUUUUGUCUUUUCCUUUCCAACCUCUUUGGUUUUUGAAAUAACGUGUGAAAAAGGAGUAAGACUGCAGCUGGGACAUUUAGACCAGUUUUGAUAAAUUAUGUCCAGAGGUCUCACCCACUGCUUUUUGUUGUUUUUGUUUUUAACCUGCCAGAGAAGAGAGAGAAAUGGAGGGAAAGGUGAAAGCAUCAUAAAGUUGGAGAGAAGAGGGAGCCAUGGUUCAGAUGGGAAGUGGGAGUGGGUAAUGCAACUGUGCAGAGAAUAAGCAGGGACGAAAGGGAAAACAGAGGAGGAGCUAUGGGAUUUUAUGUUCUGCGAAGCACCUGAUUAAAUUUAAUUCUCCAACAGUCCCAAGACAUAGAUAGGGUGGGGUAUGGAAAGGAUCGAGUUAUAAGAACUCUGUGCUACAGACGUGAAAAUGUUGUCACUAAUCUCUUGGGCUUGUAUAGUAUUUAAAAAUAUCAGAGUUAGAAAUAUUACAUGCCAAACAUGUGUCUAUCUCCUUCAUUUAAAAUGUGCAUGAAUGUUAAUGCUCUGGAGAUAAGUGACUAAUUUACCCAUUAAUUAUGCUUUUUGUUGACUUUAGUUCUGGAAACUAAUUAUUCGGGGUCUUUUAAAUACUUUCUUCCUUGAUCAGAGGUGUUAUGACAUAAAAGCAUGGAAUGAACUGGAACCCCUACUGUGAAAUAAGACUUGUGAAUUUUGAACAUGCUUAAGAAGUGCAACCAGAAUGCAUUUACCAAGCACUGUUAAUUAAGGCAUAACCUCUUCCUUAGCAUAGUUAACAAUUAGCUCUGGUGAUGGAAGUGUAAAUGGAAACACAGUGCAUUAAUAUGCUAAUAGUUCCCAUGGACAUGUGGUCUUUUUCCUUGCCCCUUUCUUCCAUUUCUUAGGUUUUUCUUUAAAGUGAGUGGUGGAGUCUACUGGUAGACUUUAAGCAGCAAGUGACUUAAAGUACAGCUUAUAGUUAUAAGCACUUAGCAACCUAAAUAUUUUAAGAUUAUAAUAUUCUUAAGGUAUAAGAAACAAGAUUAUGAAUAUUUGCAUGUUUUGAAAGUUUAAUAAAUUGCAUGUAUGUGUUUUAAGGUAGUUUAAAUAUUUGGUCCUAGAAAACCAUUGAUCAUACUAGACCGACCCAGGACGAUCAGAUCUUCUAUAUUGGUUGAAUACUAAUCAGUUGAGUCAGAUGACUAAAUUGCUUGUGUUUUCCUGUUGGGUUUAUUACUUGGAGGUAACCAGCGAAAUAAACAUGUGACUUUGCCAUUUCAUAUCAUUUGCAUACAUAUCGUACUAGAUGUUUUUAAAGAGAAAUUAUGGCCUUUCCUCUGUGCUCUUAAUGCAGACAUCAGCUCACUAACCAGUUGUUCUUGUGCUCCUCUAAACAACUGGACCUAGGAUUGAUUAUCUUAGUAACUUCAGCAGAAAUGCAAUUAAUCGUCAUAACAAAUCAGAAGAGCCUAACUGUUGAUUCAGGGUGACUAUUGUUUCCUUCUACUACAUCCUUCAUCCUUCCCAUUUGCUUCAAUAGGUCUCCCUCUUUGGCAUAAGGAUAGAGAAUGCUUGACAGGCAGGGGAGGGGUGGGGCAUAGAGGAGUGAAGGGUCUUUAUGUAUGAGCAUUAGAGUGACCUUUUGAUUAUUUUCCUCCCUGUAAGGACAUUAUUUUCUCAGGAUGAGCUGCCAUAACAUCGCACUGUCGGAUGGCAAUUUUAAAGCCUGAAAUUGAAGCCCAUGGCUAGGCUAUGAGAACUUUAGUUUGUACAGUAAAGUUGAUAUCUUCUGGAUGUAUACUGAUUUCAGUCUUCAUUUUAAUGCUCCUGGAAACUGACAUAAACAAAAGUAUUUUCAGGACAUCAUUUACAGAGCUUGGCCCUAACAAGUCAAGCUGUGAGAUUCUGCGUCUUUCAUAUGUUACAGCAGAAACUUAAAAGCAAGGGGAAAUUUAGAAAGGCAAAGAACAUCACCAUAAAACUUUGUCUCUUUUUCCCAUUCCCCAUGCAACAUGUUGCUUUGGAAGAUACUGAACAAGGCUCUUUCGCCACCCUCCGAGGACAGCCAACAAAUCUGCAAACAUAUAAUUAGGUCACAAAAUUAUUUUGCCCACUGGAGAAAUUUGAAUUUCUACUUUAUUUUGCAGUGUACAUUGACUCUCCUCUUUUUGCUCUGAGAAUAAUAAAUGCUUGCUAUACCAUCAACUUGUUAAAUUCUUUGCUUAUAGAACAGAAUCUGCACACUUCUCAGGGAAGGAUGUCCUAAGACUUUUUUUUUACUACCAGUUACUAGCAAACCUGUACUUGAAACUUUCAGGGAAAGUUAUCAAGACUAGAUGUGUAUAUUACAUAAUGUGUGGUGUGUUAUAUGCUCAGGGCAGUUUAGUUCUAGAGGGGUUCCCUAGACAGAAGGGUCCAUUUCCUUUUUUAAUUUUUUCUCUGUAAGACAAAAAUAUUUUGUAUUUAGUUUAUUUUUACUUCACUUGAUUUUCUAAAUUGGCUUCUUAAGAAGUUUAAGUCUAACUAUAUCUAUUGAGAUAUGAAUUCCGUUAGUUGGCUUCCCUCUUUGUCUGUGAGAUAUGGUAUAGUAGGUAAGAAAAGAUAAAUUGAGAUUAUUGAUUUCUAAGUAUAUACCAAGCACCAUGUUUAAUAUGUUAUAUAUAUUUUAUAAUCGCCAUAAAACUCCUCUGAGGAAAAUAAUAUUAUGCUCAUUUUAAAGAUGAAAACAUUGGUAUUCUAAAAAUCUAAGGAGACUUCGUCUGAGAUCCUUUAUUUUUUCUAGGCUAUGUUAUGGUACAUACAUUGUCCAUAGGCUUUCUCUGAUUUUUAUUCCCCCACGGUGUGGCACUUUAACUUCAACUGAUAGUUUCAAAGCACAUUUCUUUUGAAGCUUAAAAGUUGAUCAAUUACGAAAACAUCGUUGGUAUUCAACUAGAGGAGAAAAAUCUAUAUCCAGAAUUUUUAGGCACUUGGGCAUAUACAACUAAUUGAAAUUGUCCAAAUAAAUUUUAUAAUGAAGUGGUCAUUAUUUAUGGAAAAAAAUAGCUGUUAUUAUCUGUUGUGAAAUACCUGAGUUUAUGUCUCAAACUUUUGCUUUUGUUCCAUAGGCCUUGUUUUUUCCCUUUUUAAAAAUGUGUACUACGUGGUUCCCUCAACCAACUCAUUCACUUAGCCUCUGCAUUUUGAAAUUAUCUUUUCUUAAUUGUGACAUAGUUUGCAAGGGGAUUUACAGACUCCAUAUAGAGGGAGCUGAGGCUUCUAAAAUGUUGCUACCUUUAUAAUUAAGUUAACUUUUCUUUUACUUGUUGAUAAGUGGUAUUUAUUUACAAAGGACAUAAUUUUUAAAUUGAGAUAUGAUUUAUAUGUAAUAAACUGGGCCGAUCUUAAGUGUUCUGUUCCAUGAGUUUGACAAUUACAUAUGCCCAUAUCACUUUCACAAGGCAAGAAAUAGACCAUUUCCAUUUUUUCAGAAAGUUCCCUUCUGCCUUUCUCCAGCCAAUUACCACUCCAUACAACCUGAGACAAACGUUUUCCUAUAGAUCUGUUUUGCUUGCUGUUGAAAUUUAUAUGAAUGAAAUCAUAUCAUUUUGCCCUCUUUUAUCUAGUAUCUUUUGUUCAACAAGUUUUUAGAUUAAUUCAUUUCCUGCAUGAAUCAGUAGCCCCUUCCUUUUUAUUGCAGUCUGUUUUAGUGAUGUAUCACAAUUUGUUCAUUUAUUUUUAUUGAUGGGCAUUUAGGUUGCUUCCAGUUUUUAAUGAUGAAUAAAACAUCUAUGAACAUACGUUGACAAAUGUUUGUAUGAAAAUGUGCUUAUUCUUCUGGGUAAAUAGGAGGGAGUAUAAUUUCUAGAUUAUAGGACAGAUUCAUGUUUAACUUUCCUAGAAACUGUCAAACUAUUUUCCAUAUUGAUUGCAUGACUUUUUACUCCUAUUCCUAGUAAUCUGAGUUCCAGUUUCUCCUCCAACACAUGAUACUGCCAAGCUUUUCCAUUUAGCUAUUUUAGUGGCUAUAAAGUGGUGUCUCAUUGUGGUUUUAAUUUGCAUUUUCCUGAUGACUAAUUAUGUUGAGCACAUUUUCCUGUGCUUACUGGCCAUUCAUCUGUCUCUUUUUGAAAACUGAAUGUCUUUUUCUGUUUGAGUUCUCAGAUUUCUUCAUAUAUUGUGGAUACAAGUGCUUUUGUUGUAUUUAAGUGUUAGAGGUUUAUUAGUCUUUGGCUUAGACUAAUAAUUUCCUUAAUAAUACAUUUUGUUGAUAAAAACUUUUAAUUCUGAUUAAGUCCAGUUUAUCAAUUUUUUUAUUCAUGGUUAAUCCCUCUUUUUAAAAAAUUAUCUUAAGAACACUUAACAUGAGAUUUACCCUCUUAAAAAAUCUUAUACACUACAGUAUAUUUAACUAUAGGGAUAAUGUUGUAUAGCAGCUCUCCAGAGCUUAUUCCUCUUGCAUAAUUGGGAUUUUAUACUCAUUAAGUAGCAACUCCUCAUUUUUCCCCUCUCCCCAGCUCUCAGCAAUCCCAAUUUUACUCUCUGAGUCUAUGAGUUUGACAAUUUUAGAUACUUGCUCCUAAAAUUGGGAUAAUGUAGUAUGCAUCCUUCUGUGAGUAGCUCAUUUCACACAGCAUAAUGUCUUCAAGGUUCAUACAGGCAUGUAUUCCCUAUUUUUAGGCUGAAUAAUAUUCCAUUUUAUAUACCACAUUUUCUUUAUCCACUCAUUUAUUGAUGGUUGUUUAGGUUGUCUCCACAUCUUAGCCAUUCUGAAUAGUCCUGCAAUGAGCGUUGUAGUGCAAAUAUCGUUUAGAACUCCUGCUUUCAGUUAUUCUGGAUAAAUACCCAAAAGUGAGAUUGCUGUAUCCUAUGGUAAUUCUAUUUUUAAUUUUAUGAAGAAGGGUCUGGGAAAAGUCUGUCAACUGUCUGGAUUUUAUUUUAUUUUGGUUUAUUAAACUCACUCAGUUUCCUGAUGAGUUUAACAAAAACUUAUAUUUUUAUAGUAUGCCUGACUUCUCAGUGUUAGAAUGGAGGUAACAGUCUCUAGUAACUUUUAAUAUUUUAAGCAGAAGCAGAAGUAUUACACAUAGUUAUUUCUUUUAGCAUUUAUGCUACUAUUCAUACAUUUGCAUUUUCAUCUCUGUCUCUUUCAUACAUUUUCUUCUCUGGAAUUUACAUAUCAAGUGCAUUACACUCUGCUGAUGCCCUUCACACUGUUUCUCUUUUUCUGCCAUAUUCCUGUUCUGUUUUACUAUUAUCUGCACUCACACAGUAAUUAUUCUAUAUCAUCUCUUCAAAAAUUAUGUUUGCCCUUUUUGUUUUGGGUUCUCACAAAAGAGGAAAACAUAAGCAUUGAAAUUUUCCACAGGGAAAUAAUGAUGUUUGCAUGGAGAAAGAUUUUUUUGAGCAUAGAAAUGAAAGGAUGUUUAAUAAUGAAAUGCUAAAAAAAAAAAAAAAAAAAAAAAACACUUUGGCCAUGAAAAUAAAAUGUACUAGAAGAAAAUAUAGGGGGAAAAGUUCUGUGACAUUGGUCUGGGCAAAGAUUUUUUGGCUAUGACCCCAAAAAUAUAUGCAAUAAAAGCAAAAAUAAACAAAUGAAAUGACAUCAAAUUGAAAGGCUUCUACACAAAAAAGAAAGCAAUUAAUAGAGUGAAGUGACAACCCAUGAAUUGGAAGGAAACAUUUGCAAAUCAUACAUCUGAUAAGGGGAUAAUAUCCAAAAAUAUAUAUGUGACUCAAGCAACUCAAUAAUGAGAAAACAACUCAAUUAGAAAAUUGGCAAAGGAACUGCAUAAACAUUUCUCAAAAGAAGAUAUACAAAUGGCCACCAAGUAGAUUUAAAAAAAUGUUCAUCAUCAUUAAUCAUCAGGGAAAUACAAAUUUAAACCAUCAUAACAUAUCACCACACAAUUGUUAGAAUGGCUACUGUGAAAAAGAUAAAAAUUAACAAGUAUCAGCAAGUGUGUAAAGGAAAGUAAACCUGUGAACACUGUUGGAGGGAACAUAAAUUGGUAUAAUCAUUAGAGAAGAAAACACUAUGGAGGUUUCUCAGAGGCCAUAUGAUCUACCAUCAUAUGAUCCAGAAAUCCCACUUCUGGGUAUUGUUAAAAGAAAAACUUCAGCCGAAUUAAAUUUAAAGGAGUUUAAUCAAGCAAUGAAAGAUUCAGAAUCAGGCAUCCCCCCGAAUCAUAGCAGGUUCAAAGAUUCCAGUGCAGCCACGUGGUGAAAAAAGAUUUACAG